This 26-nucleotide non-coding RNA is filed under the name Rattus norvegicus (Norway rat). The record is from RNAcentral. Lineage: Eukaryota; Metazoa; Chordata; Mammalia; Rodentia; Muridae.
UUCAUAGCGAGCUCCCCCUACACAUG